UACAUGUGGGGCAAGCGUUGUUCGGAAUUACUGGGCAUAAAGGGUGCGUAGGUGGUUUGUUAAGUCAGGGGUGAAAUCCCGCGGCCCAACCGUGGAACUGCCUUUGAUACUGGCGAACUUGAGUGCGUGAGGGGUAGGGGGAACGAGCAGUGUAGCGGUGAAAUGCGUAGAUAUCGGGGGGAACACCAGUGGCGAAGGCGGCUCUCUGGGGUGCACCUGACGCUGAUGCGCGAAAGCGUGGGGAGCGAACAGG
Molecule: ribosomal RNA, 253 nt
Filed under: uncultured bacterium
Lineage: Bacteria
Description: partial 16S ribosomal RNA
Rfam family: Bacterial small subunit ribosomal RNA
Source: RNAcentral